Long non-coding RNA from Stegastes partitus (bicolor damselfish), 702 nucleotides. RefSeq lists it as uncharacterized. The transcript has 4 exons. The record is from RefSeq and is a predicted model, not a curated record. NCBI's taxonomy places the organism in Eukaryota, Metazoa, Chordata, Actinopteri, Pomacentridae.
CAGCUUGUACUCUCCACAAAGACUCAACUCAUUUCACUAAUUUUAGCCUCCUCUUCUAUUCUGUCAUCCAGGCCAUGAGCUCUAAAUCAGUCUUGGUGCGCCACGACAAAGAACAUCUCAAUUCCUAAAAUGCAUCUUGAGGAUCGAGGAGGUUUCCUGGAGGAGCUAUGAGCAAGAAUGCACAUGUGUCCAUACUGCAGUGAGCCGAGUGGUCAAAUAUUUGGAACUGACCACAGGAGUACAAUACCCAUCUGCUGAUACAGUCCUCCAUGGGUAUCUUCACUUUGAAGCCCUGACAGGCCAUUACUAUGAAUAUUCAUGUGUGACAUGUGGUGAUCAUCCACCAGUGGUCAUCAUGGACCUCCACAAAAAGGGAGCCUUCCAUUUGCGAGUAAGUGACCUUCCACAACCCCCAGAAGGCUUUAAUGGCGAGGUUGACAUUGGACUUUUUUGGGAGGCACUUUCAAUGGAAAGGAUUGGCCGAGGAUUUGCAACAAGUCACCAAAACAAUCCAUUUGCAGUUCUGCCAACUUUUCAUUUUUGGGCACCAUGGAUUGGCAAAAAUCUUGCAGAGAGCAGAAAGCAGAGAUCUUGCUCAGCAAAUUAAUCCUGGGAACUGGACUGAGAAGACUGGGCAUGAUAUUGUGGUGACUAAAGAUGUAUAAUUAGCUACUUCAAAAAAAAUAUUACUGUUGCCCCUAC